Molecule: ribosomal RNA, 492 nt
Filed under: uncultured bacterium
Lineage: Bacteria
Description: partial 16S ribosomal RNA
Rfam family: Bacterial small subunit ribosomal RNA
Source: RNAcentral
AGUGAACGCUGGCGGUAGGCCUAACACAUGCAAGUCGAACGGCAGCACAGUAAGAUCUUGCUCUUACGGGUGGCGAGUGGCGGACGGGUGAGGAAUACAUCGGAAUCUUCUUUUUCGUGGGGGAUAACGUAGGGAAACUUAUGCUAAUACCUCAUACUACCUACGGGUGAAUGCAGAGGUUCUUCGGAUUUUUCGUGAUUCAAUGAGCCUAUGUCGGAUUAGCUAGUUGGCGGGGUAAAGGCCCACCAAGGCGACGAUCCGUAGCUGGUCUGAGAGGAUGAUCAGCCACACUGGAACUGAGACACGGUCCAGACUCCUACGGGAGGCAGCAGUGGGGAAUAUUGGACAAUGGGCGCAAGCCUGAUCCAGCCAUACCGCGUGGGUGAAGAAGGCCUUCGGGUUGUAAAGCCCUUUUGUUGGGAAAGAAAAGCAGCAGGUUAAUACCCCGCUGUUCUGACGGUACCCAAAGAAUAAGCACCGGCUAACUUCGUG